Molecule: long non-coding RNA, 475 nt
Organism: Xenia sp. Carnegie-2017
Lineage: Eukaryota; Metazoa; Cnidaria; Anthozoa; Malacalcyonacea; Xeniidae
Exons: 4
Source: RefSeq, a predicted model, not a curated record
UGCUGAAAUGCGAAGAAACAUUUAAAGAACGGAACCAACUUCAAAUCAAGCAAACACAAGCAAUACUUUGCGGCAGACAAGACGAACGAGGAAGAAGACGGCAAAGUAAACGCAAAGAAUUUUUUGGUUUCUUGAUUCUUGAAGUAAAACGAUGAAGUUGAUAACAGCAACGUUCGUUUUGAUGCUUCUUGUUCUUUCCUUUGGUGCUGAUGUGCCAAAGGUGGGAGAGUACUGUGUAUGUGAAGGUGAUGGUGUUGGAUUUCCAUGGAAAUAUGAAUGUCCAUCUUCGUAUCAUCCAAAGUGCAAGAAUGAGGACUUUCUUCCUCCGUACAUUUGCUGCAAAGUGAUGCUGGAUGAAAAACCAUUGAGUUUGUGAGUCCCUGGCAUUUAAUCAUAUAAUCAUGUUCAAUUAAGAAAUGGAGUCCAAAAAUAUAGUCAUGUUAAAUUGAGAAAUAAAAUCCUGAAGCAUAUUGAA